This 309-nucleotide unclassified non-coding RNA is filed under the name plant metagenome. RNAcentral describes it as "partial contains 5.8S ribosomal RNA, internal transcribed spacer 2, and large subunit ribosomal RNA". The stretch from base 1 to 105 matches the Rfam family "5.8S ribosomal RNA", at positions 50 to 154 of the family's 154-position model. The record is from RNAcentral.
GAAAUGCGAUAAGUAGUGUGAAUUGCAGAAUUCAGUGAAUCAUCGAAUCUUUGAACGCACAUUGCGCCCCUUGGUAUUCCAUGGGGCAUGCCUGUUCGAGCGUCAUUUGUACCCUCAAGCUCUGCUUGGUGUUGGGUGUUUGUCCCGUCUACGCGCGUGGACUCGCCCCAAAGUGAUUGGCAGCCGGCGUACUGGUCCCGGAGCGCAGCACAUGUCGCGCAAACGAGUGCCUUGGUACGGCGGCGUCCAUAAGCCCCUCUCUCACGCUCUUGACCUCGGAUCAGGUAGGGAUACCCGCUGAACUUAAGC